GAGUUUGAUCGUGGCUCAGAACGAACGCUGGCGGCAGGCUUAACACAUGCAAGUCGAACGGGCGUAGCAAUACGUCAGUGGCAGACGGGUGAGUAACGCGUGGGAACGUACCUAUCGGUUCGGAAUAACCCGGGGAAACUCGGGCUAAUACCCGGAUACGUCCGCAAGGAGAAAGAUUUAUCGCCGAUAGAUCGGCCCGCGUCGGAUUAGCUAGUUGGUGAGGUAAUGGCUCACCAAGGCGACGAUCCGUAGCUGGUCUGAGAGGAUGAUCAGCCACACUGGGACUGAGACACGGCCCAGACUCCUACGGGAGGCAGCAGUGGGGAAUAUUGGACAAUGGGCGCAAGCCUGAUCCAGCCAUGCCGCGUGAGUGAAGAAGGCCUUAGGGUUGUAAAGCUCUUUCAGCGGGAAGAUAAUGACGGUACCCGCAGAAGAAGUCCCGGCUAACUUCGUGCCAGCCGCCGCCGU
RNAcentral lists this ribosomal RNA (468 nucleotides) under uncultured Alphaproteobacteria bacterium. RNAcentral's name for it is "bacterial SSU rRNA". It matches the Rfam family "Bacterial small subunit ribosomal RNA", at positions 9 to 521 of the family's 1533-position model. The record is from RNAcentral. Lineage: Bacteria; Pseudomonadati; Pseudomonadota; Alphaproteobacteria.